GAUGAACGCUGGCGGCGUGCCUAAUACAUGCAAGUCGAGCGAACAGACGAGGAGCUUGCUCCUCUGACGUUUGCGGCGGACGGGUGAGUAACACGUGGAUAACCUACCUAUAAGACUGGGAUAACUUCGGGAAACCGGAGCUAAUACCGGAUAAUAUAUUGAACCGCAUGGUUCAAUAGUGAAAGACGGUUUUGCUGUCACUUAUAGAUGGAUCCGCGCCGCAUUAGCUAGUUGGUAAGGUAACGGCUUACCAAGGCGACGAUGCGUAGCCGACCUGAGAGGGUGAUCGGCAACACUGGAACUGAGACACGGUCCAGACUCCUACGGGAGGAAGCAGUAGGGAAUCUUCCGCAAUGGGCGAAAGCCUGACGGAGCAACGCCGCGUGAGUGAUGAAGGUCUUCGGAUCGGAAAACUCUGUUAUUAGGGAAGAACAAAUGUGUAAGUAACUAUGCACGUCUUGACGGUACCUAAUCAGAAAGCCACGGCUAACUACGUG
This 497-nucleotide ribosomal RNA is filed under the name uncultured bacterium. RNAcentral describes it as "partial 16S ribosomal RNA". It matches the Rfam family "Bacterial small subunit ribosomal RNA", at positions 28 to 507 of the family's 1533-position model. The record is from RNAcentral.